RNAcentral lists this ribosomal RNA (480 nucleotides) under uncultured Pedobacter sp. Its description in RNAcentral is "partial 16S ribosomal RNA". Lineage: Bacteria; Pseudomonadati; Bacteroidota; Sphingobacteriia; Sphingobacteriales; Sphingobacteriaceae. The record is from RNAcentral.
CACGGAGUUAGCCGAUCCUUAUUCCUUCGGUACAUUCAGCUCAUUACACGUAAUGAGGUUUAUUCCCGAAUAAAAAGCAGUUUACGACCCAGAGGGCUGUCUUCCUGCACGCGGCAUGGCUGGUUCAGAGUUGCCUCCAUUGACCAAUAUUCCUUACUGCUGCCUCCCGUAGGAGUCUGGUCCGUGUCUCAGUACCAGUGUGGGGGUCAUCCUCUCAGAUCCCCUAGUCAUCGUCGCCUUGGUGGGCCGUUACCCCGCCAACUAGCUAAUGACACGCAUGCCCAUCUUAAUCCUAUAAAUAUUUGAACAUUGGAUAAUGCUAUCCUGUGUUUUUAUGUCGGUGUUAAUCCGUAAAUUUCUUCGGGCUAUCCCCCUGACUUAAGGUAGGUUGCAUACGCGUUACGCACCCGUCGCGCCUACUUUCGUCAAGAGCAAGCUCUCAACUAUCGUUCGACUUGCAUGUAUUAGGCCUGCCGCGUA